RNAcentral lists this ribosomal RNA (99 nucleotides) under Chinchilla lanigera (long-tailed chinchilla). Lineage: Eukaryota; Metazoa; Chordata; Mammalia; Rodentia; Chinchillidae. The record is from RNAcentral.
GUCUAUGGCCAUACCAGGCUGAACCCAUCUGAUGUCGGACUGAGACCUAGUUAGUAUUUGGAUGGGAGACCACCCAGGUAAUAGCAAGUGCUGUGAGCU